UCAACAUCAAGCACUUUUGGAACUGGCUGCAACGGAGGAGUAAGAGCUUCUGCAGGCGCUUCUGCUUUAACAUCAAGCACUUUUGGAACUGGCUGCAUCGGAGGAGUAAGAGCUUCUGCAGGCGCUUCUGCUUUCCAUCAUACUCUUUUUUGAGGGUUCAAUGAAACGCUGUGUCAACCUUGGGAUAGAUAGAUGGUGUGGUUUUAGAAUAGAUUCUCUUGAAUCCCAGGGAGACAGCUGGAGUCACACGCUCCUUUAAUGUUGGAGAAAAGUAGUCAAAAAGGAGAGCGACUUUAUUGUUUCUUUUUUCUUUGAAUGUUCUCUUCCCUUGUGUUCAUGCUUGCACGCUAUUUUGUCUGAUUAAUUCUCUUGUGUCCUCGUUUGUCUAUCUGUAUUAGAACCUAAAUAUUUGAAAACUAACUUUUUAAUAUAUUAAGGUUUUUUCGU
This is a non-coding RNA of Styela clava, 447 nucleotides long. The record is from RefSeq and is a predicted model, not a curated record. NCBI's taxonomy places the organism in Eukaryota, Metazoa, Chordata, Ascidiacea, Stolidobranchia, Styelidae.